CAAAUUUGAAAGCUGGCCUUUUUGGUCCGCGUUGUAAUCUCGAGAAGUGUUUUCCGUGUUGGACCGCGUACAAGUCCCUUGGAAUAGGGCGUCGUAGAGGGUGAGAAUCCCGUACUUGACGUGGCAGCCAAUGCUUUGUGAUACACUCUCCACGAGUCGAGUUGUUUGGGAAUGCAGCUCAAAAUGGGUGGUAAAUUCCAUCUAAAGCUAAAUAUUGGGGAGAGACCGAUAGCGAACAAGUACCGUGAGGGAAAGAUGAAAAGCACUUUGGAAAGAGAGUUAAACAGUACGUGAAAUUGUCGAAAGGGAAGCGCUUGAAGUCAGCUAUGCUGUUCGGGAUUCAGCCUUGCUUUUUGCUUGGUGUAUUUCCCGGCGUGCAGGCCAGCAUCGGUUUCGGCUGCCGGAUAAGGGUAGAAGGAAUGUAGCACCCUCGGGUGUGUUAUAGCCUUUUACUGGAUACGGU
RNAcentral lists this ribosomal RNA (463 nucleotides) under Gjaerumia minor. RNAcentral's name for it is "LSU rRNA". It matches the Rfam family "Eukaryotic large subunit ribosomal RNA", at positions 110 to 577 of the family's 3401-position model. The record is from RNAcentral. Lineage: Eukaryota; Fungi; Basidiomycota; Exobasidiomycetes; Georgefischeriales; Gjaerumiaceae.